UACAGAGGUCUCAAGCGUUGUUCGGAUUCAUUGGGCGUGAAGGGUGUGUAGGUGGCGCCGUAAGUCGGGUGUGAAAUUUCGGAGCUUAACUCCGAAACUGCAUUCGAUACUGCGGUGCUUGAGGACUGGAGAGGAGACUGGAAUUCAUGGUGUAGCAGUGAAAUGCGUAGAGAUCAUGAGGAAGACCAGUGGCGAAGGCGGGUCUCUGGACAGUUCCUGACACUGAGACACGAAGGCCAGGGGAGCAAACGGG
This 253-nucleotide ribosomal RNA is filed under the name uncultured bacterium. Its description in RNAcentral is "partial 16S ribosomal RNA". It matches the Rfam family "Bacterial small subunit ribosomal RNA", at positions 524 to 776 of the family's 1533-position model. The record is from RNAcentral.